AAGCUUCUUGACAUCUGAAGAUUUCCAAUGUCCACUUUGAGAGCCCACCCAUCAGAGCACUGUGGCAGCAGGAGUGUGGCCGAGAUUAGAGGUUGAAGACAGCUUUGUCGAAAUGAGCUACUGGCCUCAUGAGACCUGCUGAGGGGGUGAAUGAAGUGCGCAGGGAUGAAUAAACCCUGCCAUCAAAAAUGUCACCUUCAUCCAUGAGACAACAAGGCAGUCAUGAAUUGUGGUCACUGUCUGCCAUCCCCAACUUCCUAGGCACCGAGUGGCACAGCCUUUUCCAGGAUCGGAGAAACUUCCAAUCCUGCUGAAAUGACUUGGUACUCUAUUUCCAGACAGGAACAUAAUAGCAAGGAAGAUUCCCAAAAGUAUUUUGCAAGCCUGUGCCUCCCACAUAAUAAGCAUUCAGCAAACAUCUGCUGAUGCAUUGGUCAAGUCCCAAUCUGGAAGCACCUGCAAGGUACAACUGACUACGAGAGGCAGGAUGCUCGUCGACAUGAAGUGGUAUUCUGCAGCUUUCAGUGCUCUAAAGCUCUCCAUUACCAAGGGAAAGGAUUUCCACUCAAUUAGAUCACAAAAUAGAGGAUUAUGCGGUUUGAGUCCCAACAUGGGGAAGACUUGAAGAGAUUGUGUGUCAGAAAAACUAACUGAAGACAAGAGCUACAAUGUGUGUUAGCACGGAGGCAGUGUCCGCCCCAAGAACAGUCAGGUAUUUGUCUUCCUUUGUGCCUUCAGAGGGCUGUGUUGAGGGCUAGCACUCAUUUUCAGGAGAAAUGAAUCGCGCACCCUCAGAUUGGAUGUGGCUAGCUGGGUCUAGAGGGUGUCAGUCUUUGAGCUGCGUGCCGUCUAACGUCAACACUUCGUUUACUUACGACAUAAAUUAAAUCCCUGAGCUGGAACAAGCCAGGGGAGAGACAGCGGGCUAGACUUGUCAUGGCAGGAAAGAGUAAAACACAAGGUAUCCUCACAAAACAUAUUAAAGAUGUAAAUUUGGGUAGGAAAAAUCCCGUUAUGAUUAUUGCUUAUUACAUGUUGUUACUUAAUCUGAAUUCUUCCAGGAAAUUUGAGUUUACCGAAUUCAGCUUGGUAGGACUCAGUGGAAUAAAGAAAAGCUGAAAGAAAGAGUGUUAAAUUCUCCACCUGGUUUGGUUGUUGAUUUCUCUUUAACCUAUAGGUGGUUCAUAGUAUUCUGCCCUUGACAGACAGUUAAUAAAAUUAUGGUCAAUUUGGGUGUUUAGUUUUCCGAAUGAGGUUUUGCUGAUGGGAUCAUUUGAUAAAGCCAUGGACUCACUAGGACAAAGGCACACGUCCCAGAACCCACAGGAGCCUUUUUGCUCUCACUGCCACUCACUGUACCCCAGUGUAUUCACACUACUGGUCACCAGGAGGACCGGAUGAAAAAGGGUGAAGACAGCAUCAUGUGGUUGAUGCUCAACAAAUCAUUGUAGAAGGGACGUUGUUUGAAGUUAUAGCCUCAGAUGUCACUUGGAAGCAGUUAUCAAUAAAUGUCAUCCCUAUUUAGCUAACUUUGAUUCUCCCGUAUUGGAGAAUAUAUAUGAGGAUGAAGCCUGAAUGGUACUAAAACUAGUAAUUUACAUGUGUAACCAAUAUGGAUUUUUCCACUUAGGUCAAUAAAUGUCACCAUCUGUGGGGCAUUCGAUAACCAGCUCCAUAUGGGCGCGCGCACACACACACACACACACACACACACACACACACACACAGGGAAGGUUCCAGGUCUACAGGACGCACCACCCCAGGCUAUGCUAUGUGGCAAACCUAUCUAGUCUGCACUGCCCAGGGGGCCCAGGUGAGAAAACUAACAGGUUUUCUGUUUGAAAUUGGUUCCCCAGAGCCCAGCAACCUCUUUCUUCCUCCUUAUUUGGGGUGGAGAACAUGAAAGAAAAAGCUAUUAUAUACCCGCUGAGUAAAGAACCUAGAAGGGGAUUCAAAAAAACUAGAUCCAGGGGCGCCUGGGUGGCUCGGUCGGUUGGGUGUCCAACUUCGGCUCAGGUCAUGAUCUCACAGUUCGUGGGUUCGAGCCCCACGUCGGUUUCUGUGCUGACAACUCAGAGCCUGGAGCCUGUUUCAGAUUCUGUGUCUCCCUCUCUCUCUGCCCCUCCCCUGUUCAUGCUCUGUCUCUGUCUCAAGAAUAAAUAAACAUUAAAAAAGAAAUUAAAAAAAAAACAAACUAGAUCCAACCUACAGAAAAUUUUUUUUGCCUUCUAAAGAGUUAAAAAUUUGGAAAGUUUUGUCUAAAUAUGUGGUUUGCAGCUGCUCCAAAAUAACAGAAGACCUAGCAUCACUGGAAUGACGUUUCCAUGUGGAGCUAAUCGGUGAGACCUGAGUAACAGCCACUCUUUUCAGACGGUCCUGUUCAGUGCCCACCUAGCCUAAACAUUGGGGUUGAGGGCAAGAGGGCUACAGUAGAAAGAGAGCUCAAGGGGCGCCUGGGUGGCUCAGUUGGUUGAGCAUCCGACUUUGGCUCAGGUCAUGAUCUCACGGUUCGUAGGUUCGAGCCCUGCGUUGGGCUCUGUGCUGACAGCUCAGAGACUGGAGCCUGCUUCAGAUUCUGCGUGUCCCCCUCUGCCCCUCCCCUGCUUGCAUUGUCUCUUUCUCUCAAAAAAUAAAUAAAACAUUAAAAAAAGAAAGAGACCUCAAAAAUACCAACGAACUUAUCAAUAAGAUUCCAGCAGAUUUGCAUUCUUCACUUCCCUUUCGGCUGCCCUCAGCAUGCCCUUUUGUAGCCAUUGGUUUUAGUGAAUGUUUUCAUUAAACAUCCUAUGAACGUUUUCAGAUAACAAUAAAUAAUGAUAGCUAACUUUUACUGAUCUCCCACAGUGUGCCAUGCACUCUGUUAACCGACAUAUGUCCUAUCUUUUCAUUAUUCUAAGAACUCAGAGAUAUAGUUACAACUAUUAUCUCCUCUUUAAAGACAGUAAACAAGCUUGGAAAGUUUAAAAAAUGUGUCCCAAGGCAGAAAGCUAGGAGAUGGUAGGGAUAGUUAAGCCCAGAUAGCAUCACUCUUAGCCAUUAGACCACACUGCCUCUAACGGUAAACCCACUGUUUCAUUAUUAUUGAUUUAAUAAUGCACAUUGAUUUAAAUAUGCGCAUUGAAUCCUUGAGGUAAAGAGGUGAAACUCAGAUCCCUAAUUUAGAUUUUCUCUCUUUCCUCAUGCAAACAAUGGUGAUAUACGCCUAGUAGACUAAAAAUAUAUCACAUAGCAUGUAGACUUUUACAAACAGAGGGGAAGUUUUUGGUUUUGGUUUUUGGUUUUUGGUUUUUUGGGUUUUUUUAUUUUAUUAGGUGUUUUUCUUUUUCCUUAAGACUUCAUGUUUGGGCACUAUUUAGAAUACCUUGCAAUAAAACAUAAAUUUGUAUUACAUUUAAAAGCCUUUCAAUGGUCCGUUUCAUUAUAAAAAUAGCACACGCUGGAUAAAAAUAAGAGUAUUCCACUUUAAGUACACUUUAAGCCCUUCCAGAAAAGCUAAAAUAUUGGUACUCUGUUCAGCCAAAGCUGAGAAGGAAUUCUAAGCAGAAUUCUAGUAAAACCCUAUAUUAAAAACUAAAGAUAGAAAUAUAAAAUGAUAGGCUAGAUAAGGAAUAAGUAUUUUUAAAAUAUAAAUAAAUAAACAGAAGAAUUUUGGAACAUACUGGCCUCCCCCCACUCUGUUCAACAGCUUCCGUUCAAAUGUUCCAGUCUGUGCUUCUAUGACAAGAUAGUGUGGAAGGAAAAGCCAAAUCAAAUGAGAAACCCAGUCGCUAAAAUGUGUUUAAUCAUUUACAAUGUCUGCCCUUUCACAAUUCAAAUGAUUUUGGGUUGCACAUAACUUUUCCAAGGAGCCAGGUUUUCUGCAGAAUGUUCGUACAUUUUUAACUAAAAAUUCAUUUUCCCCAUUCCAUCUGGAAAUGUCUAAACUUUUCAUUCAACUCCCUACAGAUUUCUAUACUUUAGGGACUGAAGGAAAAUUUCAUGAAAGUCUUAUGAUGCAAAUUUGGUCAAAUUCUUUAUCACUGCCUGCUUUGGAUAACUUUAUCUCUUUUAAUUAAGAAGGUCACUUAUAGUCAAACAGAGAGACUGUUUGACUGAUUUUGUAAUCAGUAAUGGAAAAAAGCUGAAAAGAAUAAUCACCGAAAGGAGUUACUAUAGCUCUUCACACAAAUUCCAUUGCAUAGACCCUUAUAAAAAUAAGCAUCAGUAGCCAAUGGCUGAGUAUAAAGAAAAUAAGUCAGAGCCUAAAGCAGUAUGACAGAUACUUAGGCCUGAACUCAGUGCCUGAGGAAUGUUGGGUUGCCGACAUAGAUUUGCUCUCCUAUUGCUUGAAGGAUACAUUUUACUAUAUUGUCUUUUUUUCUAAGUUUAUUUACUUAUUUUGAUAGAGAGAGAGAGAGAGAGAGAGAGAAAGUGAGAGAGUGGGGGAGGGGCAGAGACAGAAGGAGAGAAAGAGAUGUAGGGCUUGAACCCACAAACCGUGAGAUCAUGACCUGAGUCGAAAUCAAGAGCCAGAUGCUUAACCAACUGAGCCACCCAAGUGCCCCUUAAUAUAGUUUCUGUUUUAUUUCCUAUAAAUUUCAUAUAUACAUAUGAUUGCCAAAUUCAGAAUGGUGAUGUCAUUAACUAUGAUUAACUCUGUGC
This is a long non-coding RNA of Acinonyx jubatus (cheetah), 4641 nucleotides long. RefSeq lists it as uncharacterized. The record is from RefSeq and is a predicted model, not a curated record. NCBI's taxonomy places the organism in Eukaryota, Metazoa, Chordata, Mammalia, Carnivora, Felidae. The transcript has 4 exons.